This 468-nucleotide ribosomal RNA is filed under the name uncultured bacterium. RNAcentral's name for it is "partial 16S ribosomal RNA". It matches the Rfam family "Bacterial small subunit ribosomal RNA", at positions 28 to 507 of the family's 1533-position model. The record is from RNAcentral.
GACGAACGCUGGCGGCGUGCUUAACACAUGCAAGUCGAACGGAAAGGCCCUGCUUUUGUGGGGUGCGCGAGUGGCGAACGGGUGAGUAACACGUGAGUAACCUGCCCUUGACUUUGGGAUAACUUCAGGAAACUGGGGCUAAUACCGGCUAGGAUCUCCUGCUGCAUGGUGGGGGUUGGAAAGUUUCGGCGGUUGGGGAUGGACUCGCGGCUUAUCAGCUUGUUGGUGGGGUAGUGGCUUACCAAGGCUUUGACGGGUAGCCGACCUGAGAGGGUGACCGGCCACAUCGGGACGGGACUGCGGCCCAGACUAGUCCGCGAGGCAGCACUGGAGUGGAUAAUAUAAGGGGCGGAGCGCUGAUGCAACCCAGCCGCGUGCGGGAAGAGAGGAAGCCCGUAGUGAUCCAAAGCCGCCUGUCACGCAGCGUGAAUGACGGUACUGGGUAAAUAAGCACCGGCUAACUCCGUG